Molecule: long non-coding RNA, 14591 nt
Organism: Manis pentadactyla (Chinese pangolin)
Lineage: Eukaryota; Metazoa; Chordata; Mammalia; Pholidota; Manidae
Exons: 3
Source: RefSeq, a predicted model, not a curated record
ACCUCAGUCACCUUGAUAAGACUCUCCCUCCACGUGCAGCACAAUCAGCUGGGAGCUGUAAUAUUCCAUCCAUCCAGCUCCGUGUGAGCUUUUCUACAGAUGUGAUCUUUUUGCUGAGAAUCCAGACACCAGCUGAAGUAGCCACACAUCCAGUUCUCCUGUGCCUUUUAGCCCAUUCUGAAGAGAGCAGCCUUCUCCGACAUUCUUUUUGGGAUCCCUACUCUGAAAAUUAAAAUGUCCAAAAUGCCUUCCCAUCAAUAAAUUCUUAUCUACCUCAACAGAAGGCUCAGCAACUUUCAUUCCUGGCCUCUAAUACAAUGCCAGCCCCAUAGAAGGAACUUAACCAGUGUUCCUUAAAUUAGUGAGAAAAUUAAUAAAUGAUUUUCCCAGAACCUAUAAAGAUACAGGUAUAUCAUAAUAAUUGGGUGAAUGCAAAUCACUUUUGGACUCCAACAAAGAGAGUGAAAGCUUUGAAAUUACAAAAGUAUUCCAUAAAGGAGUGUUUUCUUCUGAAAGAAAAUCUCUCAGCUAAGACCUCAAAGACAGUGAUUUACUGAAAAUCUAAAAUGUGGUAUUGCCAUGAUUUAGAGGGGAGUUAUGUUUCCCUCUUUAAAUGUGAUUCACUCUACUUUUCGUAGAGAAUGUAGCUAAAGACAGCCAAGAUCUUUACCAGUUUAUACAUUUAGCUUUGUGAUAAUGCCCAUUCCUUCCAAUCAUUCUUAUUCAGCAGUAUUUUUUAACACAGACUACUUUGAAUCUUUUCUGAAGUAUGUAAGAUUUACUUUACUUUUCACAACCUUUUCUAUUUAAAUGUAUGUAUGUACAAAUAUUAUGUGUACACAGAUAGCUAAUAAGUCAUUUCUUUGACUAAAUUAUAUGUGAUUUCUAUAUAUUUCAGUUCUCUCUGCUCACUUUUUAUUUCCUUGAGCCAUAUUACCACCUACUUUAUAAUGAAAAACUGGCCUAUCAAAUUUUCAUGAAGGAAACUCUGUAACAUUAUUUCCAUUUCCAAAGGAAUUACUUUUAAUUGUUCUGUAAGAACAGCAUGCUACUCAAAAGCCUUCUAAUAUAAUUUAUGUAUUAAGCCUUUAUUUAUAUUCAGCAUAUCAGAAACCCAUCUACUGUCUAAAGUGAGGUUAUACCUAUCUAAUCACUCAUAUAUGCAACAAUUAAAAUGAUUUUUUAAAUGAAGGUGAAUUGAAAUAUCCUUUUAGAACUCUGAUGCAAUAGGCACAACAUAAGAAUUUUAUUAAAACUAAAUAAUACUAUAAAAAAAUAAAAGACCACAGAAAAGAAUAACGGUUCUGAAAAAUCAGUAAUAAGACCAUGUCAAAUCAUCAGUCCUUUUACAUGUUGCAUUACAGUGUAAGUGUUCUUUACAGAAAGACAAGAAGUGCAUUACAAAGAAUAUGGAAAAAAAAAAGAAGAAUGUGAAAACCACCCACAGUCCAGGAAAGAAAAACACUGUUAAAUAGCAUAAGUACCCUUCUAAUCUCUUGUCUGUGCACAUACAUACAUGAACAUAAAUAAAUGCAUAGUUUCCUUUUUCGAAAUUUAGCUCGUACUGAACAUACUGCUUUGCAACCUGCCAGGCCUUUUUAAACCCUGAAAUUCUUAACUCAAGCCCCUGAGGCAAGCCCUGGAAGAAAGGGAGGACCAGGCUUGAAUAGCAAUUUUCUAAGAAAAAGAAAAGGAAGGAAAAAGUGGAAGGCUAAUGAGAUCAAAGAAGACAGGAUAUGGAAGUGAAAGGAUAUCACAGAGGAAGCAAAAGAUAAAGACGGAAUUUUUCAAUUUAAACUCCAUUUUCUAAUUUUCUUAAUUGCAACAACAUUGCACUAUUGUGUGUUUUUGGAAAUUCCACUCUAUGGUUCAGUCAUCCUCUUCGCCUCUUCCUCCCCCUGCUCUGCGGCUGGGGUAGUUUACAGCAUAGUGUAGAGAUGCCAACCACUGGAGCCAAAUUCAAUUCCAAAUCCAAACAUAAGCAAUGUUUGCGAAUAGACACUCCUUUGAGGUUCACCCAACUCCAAUUUUGCCAGUUCCCUCCAGGGAAAGAUUUCCCUUUGAAGCUUCUGUGUAUCCGAAUGCAUUCUGGGAUACAGGUUUGGGUUUCUGGUGUGGGGCCAUUUAUGUAUAGAAUGAAUACGCUCUGCACCUAGCGCUCUCAUGCUUUAUGUGAAACACAGCCUGUGACAACGUAUAGGAAGGCCAGUAUUUGAAGGCAUGGCUGGAAAACAUUUUUGUUCACGUACAUCUAAAUUAAAAUUUAAAAGGCAAAUCAAGAAUACUGAAUUAGCCCAGAUGUUGCAAAGUUAAUAUGCAUGGUGAUUUAUUCAGAAAUGCUCUUAAGUUUAAAAAAAAAAUGGAAAGCAGGGCUUGAAAUGAAACUUAUUUUAAAAUGGUAGUUUUAAAACUGUUCAUUGUACCAAGCACCGUCUGACAGAUAAAUGCCACAGGCUACAACUUGAAAUGCUUACACAAGAACAAAAUUUUCCUAAAGAAAAAUAGCCUACUAAACUAUCGGAGGUGGAGUAUGUUUCUAGUGUACUUGGAAAAGGGGGCGUGUAGUUGAGCAAGUUUAAGGGACUCUACCUGCCCUGAAGACCUGAAAGCACAACUGGAAAAACAAAUGAGCUUUCACUUAAAGUAAACGGGAGUUGGGGGAAGGCUGAGAACUGCAUCUGUGCUGAGAAUUAGUCGCUGACAAAGCCCACGUGUCAGGAAGACCAGCAGCGUUCACUAGUGGUUAUGUUAUUAUCAUGUUGGGGGCACACUGAAUCCAAAGAGUAGUCUUUAAACCCAGUUAGGAACCUGAGCCCCUUCCUUUCCUGGCCUUCUGGGAGGUAUCUUCCCUCUCCUUUUACAACAGAAUGACUUUUGACCAAAGAAAAAAAAAAAAAGACAAGUUAUUGACAUUUUCAAUCUUGGUCUUGGUUGACUCCAUUCUUAAUCCCCCCAACUAUUUCAAUGUCUCCUCUCAGAUUAAACUUUGAGGAGGCUGAGGGUUUGUCUACUUGUUUAAUGCUUAGGCCCCACUCCCCAGGGCCUCCUCAUGAUGUCACACACCCUUCCUGCACUAAGGAAACAUUUGAGAAGAAUGACCUGCGUUAUCAUUUCCUCCUUAAAUUACUAAGAAGGGAUUUGGGAGUGUGCCUGCAGAAUUAUGUCUCCUGGGCCUCUGAGAGUCUUUAUUUUAUACUCAAUUACUUAGCAUUAUCCCUGGAAGUUUCAUUUGGCUGUUUGAUCAAAAAUAAAUACUGGUUGGUUGACCCACCAUCAUGGUCUUUUCCAAAAUACAUCAAUACUUAGAAAAUACUUAUCUUUUACAUUAUUCUGCUUUCCUCCCUUUGUAGAUCCUAGUAUUUACUUGUUAAUUUGGAAUCUCCAUCCUAACAAAAAUUCCCAUAUUGCCCACAUUGACUUUUGAAUUAUUCUCCCUGGACUUCCCUCAAGAGAUAUGCUUUUGACACAAUACAUAUUUGUAAAAUAAUGGUAUAUACAUAGCAUUUUAUAAACAAAUGUAUUGGGCCAAUCAAAGUGUACUUUUUGUAUAUAUAUUCACUUUUAUGAUCAGAAGACUUGUCAUUCCCUUAAAAACUAUGCUAAGCUUGUAUCAUUCACCAAGAUGUGAAAGGUAAGGCAUAUUAAAGAAUUAGACCUUUACCAUCCUAAGUACACUACAUAUACAUUUUUUUCUUUGCUUAGAACUACAUCCAUAUUAUCCUAUUAUGAGUUGAACGAAAUUAGCAUGGCUCCAUGUUUUAGUUAAAUCUGGCAAGAAACCAUGAGAGGACAGAUGAUAAGACUGCUGAUGAGUUGUAAUUCAAAAGUAAGGCUAUUAGCGCACACUUGACAAAUGAUAACAUAAGAUACGGCAGUCACUAAUUAUUCUCUCUACAAAAUUCAGCCCAUGAGACACUGCAGCACAGAGAAAAGAGUGCCAACUUCAGGUAAAAGUCCUAGGUUCCUUCUGGUUUCCUGUCUAGUAUAUAAGGAGCAUGAAAGUUGCCACUCCAUCCUAACAAGUGAAAAGUUGAACAAGCUGAAAAACCAACAACUCUUUCUUAGCUCUCUGAGAGAAGAGAGAUCUCAGGGAAAACUGCUUCCUCCAAAAUUAGAGAGGCAGGUAGGUAGAUACAGAGAAUCACAACUUACCAGAACAGAACCCUAUAAGCAGAAAUUUUCUUGGAAACCAAUGCCAAAGCAGGAGAUCCUGGUCUGUAAUUAAUGAAUUACUGGAAGCUCAGCGUGGACAACACUGAGAAAACAUCAGGGGGACCUAGUCUUGGGUAGGCCUCAACACUUGCAUGGGCUUUACUUCCUGGAGCUCUACCAGGUUUUCACAGCGCAUAUAAAAGAAAAAUUCCCUCAUGCUUCUGGCAUGGAGAUGGGAAAUACACCAAUCUUUGAAAGACGCAAACAGCCAAAACUCCCACAAGAAGAAAUAGAUAAUCCAAAUAUUGCCUUUAUCUUUUAAAUGAAUUUAAUCAAUACUUAGUAAUCUUCCAAAACAGAAAGCUUUAGGCCCAGAUGGGUACACUGGUGAAUUCUACCAAAUAUUUAAGAAAAAUAUAACGAUUUCUAUAAUCUCCUCCAGAAAAUAGAAGCAGAGGUAGUGCUUUCUGACUCAUUCUAUGAGGACAGCACUGUCCUAAUACAAAAACCAUACAAAGACAUUACAAGAAAAGAGAACUGUAAUCCAAUACUUAAACAAAGAUGUAAAAAUCCUUAACAGAAUAUUAGCAAAGCAAAUCCAACAAUGUAUAAAAAGAACUAUACAUGAUCAAGUGGGAUUUACCCUAGGUAUGCAAGUUUGGUUCAAUGUUUGAAACUCAAUUAAUGUAAUCCAUUAAAUCAACAGGCUAAAAAAGAAAAAAUCACAUGAUCAUAUCAAUAAAUGCAGACAAAGCAUUUGACAAAAUGCAAUACCCAAUCAUAAGAUAAAAUAAAAUAGAAAAAAACCUCAGCAAACUAGGAAUAGAUGGGAGCUUCCUCAACUUGAUAAAGAACAUACACAAAAACCUAUAGCUAGCUAACAUCAUACUAAAUAGUGAGCUUUCCUGCUAAGAUAUGGAACACAGUAAGGAUAUCUCCUCUCACCACUGCUUUUCAACAUACUAGAAGUUCCAACUAAUGCAAUGAGACAAGAGUAGUAAAUAAAAGACAUACAGAGAGGGAAGGAAGAAAUAAAACGACCUUUGUUCACAGAUGACAUGAUUGUCUAAGUAAAAGCUACAAAAGAAUCGACCAAAAAAAUCUCCUGGAACUAGUAAGUGAUUAUAGCAAGAUUGUAGAAUCAAGAUUAAUAAACAAAAGUUAACCACUUUCUUAUAUACAAGCAAUGAACAAGUGGAAUUUGAAGUUAAAAAUACAAUAUCAUUUACAUUAACACUGAAAAAAGAUGAAAUACUUAGGUAUAAAUGUAAAAAAAUAUGUACAGGCUCUAAAGAAAUCUACAAAACUCCAAAGAAAAAUAUCAAAGAAUGAAAUAAAUGAAGACAUAUUUCAUAUUUGUGGAUAGGAAGAUUUAAUUUGUCAAGAUGUCAGUUCUUCCCAACUUGAUCUAUAGAUUCAAUGUAGUCCCAGUAAAAAUCCUAGCAAGUUAAUCUUGUGGCUGUUGACAAGAUUACUUUAAAGUGUAUGCAGGGAGGAAGAUGACCCAGAAUAACAAACUCAAUAUUAAAGGACAAGAACAGCAUUGGAAGACUGAUAUUGUUCUGACUUUAAGACUUAUGAUAAAGCUACAAUAAUCAAGACAGUGUGGUAUUGACAAAAGAACAAACGGACCAAUGGAACAGAACAGAGAGCCCAGAAAUAGACCCAUAUAAAUAUAGUCAAAUGAUCAUUGACAAAGGAACAAAAGCAAUACUAUGGAGCAAAGACAGUCUUUUUAACAAAUGGUACUGGAAUACCUGGACAUUAACAUGCAAAAACCUGAAUCUAGAUACAGUUCUUACAUAUUUCACAAAAAUGAUUUCAAAAUGGAUCAUAGAUUUAAAUGUAAAAUGCAAAAUUAUAAAGCUCCUAGAUGGUAACAAAGGAGAACACCUAGGUGAUCUUGGGGAUGGCGAUGACUUUUUAGAUACAACACCAAAGGCACGAUCUGUGAAAGAAAGAAUUGAUAAACUGGACUUCAUUAAAACUAAAAAUUUCUACUACACAAAAGACAAGGUCGAGAGAAUGAGAAAAUAAGCCACAGACUUGGAAACAACAGUUACAAAAGACACAUGUAAUAAAGGACUAUGAUCCAAAAGAUAUGAAGAACUCUUAAAACUUAACAACAAGAAAAUGAACAGCUUGAUCAAAAAUUGAGAAAAAGACCUGAACACACAUGUCACCAAGGAAGACAGAUAGCAAGCAAGCAUAUAAAGAGAUGUGCAACAUCAUAAGUUAUUAGGGAAUUGCAAAUUAAAACAGUAAGAUACCAUUAUAUGCUUAUUAGAAUGGCUAAAAUCUGGAACAAUGAUAUCAUCAAAGGCUGGUGAGAAAACAGAGCAAUAGAAACUCUUAUUCAUUGUUAGGGGGAAUGAAAAAUGGUACGGCCACUUUGAAAGACAGUUUGUAGUUGCUUACAAAACUCAACAUACUCUUACCAUAUGAUCUGGUAAUCACACUCUUUGGUAUUUACCAAACGGAGUUAAAUUUAUGGCUGCACAAAAACCUGCACAAUGGUAUUUAUAGCAGCUAGGUUCAUAAUUGCCAAAACAUGGACACAACCAAGAUGUCCUUCAAUGGAUAUAUAAAUUGUGUUACAUCCAGACAAUGGAAUAUCAUUUAGCACUAAAACAACAUGAGCUAUCAAACUAUGAAAAGACAUAUAGGAAACUUAAAUGACAUUACAAAGAGAAAGAAACCAAUCUGUAAAGGCCAUACACUGUAUGACUGAUGACAAGCUAUGACUUUCUGGAAAAGGAAGAAAUGUGGACAUAGUAAAAAUGUUAGUGUUUUCCUAGGGUUAGGAGAGAGGGGAGAAUGAAUAGGUAGAGCACAGGGGACUUUCUGGGCAGGGAAACUAUUCUGCAUGAUACACAGUGGGGGAUACAUGUCAUUACACAUCUGUCACAACCAAAGAAUGUGCAACACCAAGAAUGAAACUUAAUGCAAUCUAUCUAUGGACUUUGGGUGAUAACGAAGUAUCAAGGUAGGUUCAUCAAUUGUAAGAAAUGUACACUCUGGUACAAUCAAAAGUGUUGACAGUGGAGGAGACUGUGAGUGUGGGAGGACAGGAGGUAUAUGAGAAACCUCUGUACUUUUUGCUCAGUUUUACUACGAAUCUAAAACUGCUGUAAGAGAGUUCAUUACAAAAAAAAAAAAAAAAAAGUCCUAGGUUUGGGUUCUGACUGUCUACUUACUAGUUAAGUUGCCCUGGGCUAGUCAACUUAUUAGGCCUUGUAAACUGCUGGUAUAACUGGUAUUUACUUCCCAGGAUUGCCAAGAGACUGCAGUGAAAUGCUGGGUGUGAGAACACUUUGUGAAAUGCUAGAGACCAGUGCCUUUGGCUUCCUGCAGAGGCAACCAAACAAUUUCUCAUCAUUUUCCACUGAGCCAGCAUUGGUCGUUGCAGAUGUGGGAAUACCUCAUCCUUUUAUGAUCUUACAAAAAAUUAGCAUGAGCUCCAAGAAAAUCCCAAACAAAAGCUGAUGAAACUUCGCAGGAUGCCAAGGAAGCAGCUGGCACCAUAAACACUGUGAGAGCUUUGCUGGCACGCCUCCCCCCAGUGAGCUGCCAACUGCUCUUGAUGGGGGGACCUGGCGCUGCAGUGGAGAAACAAACUCAGGAGAGGAGGCGAGGCCAUUCUAUCAGCUGCCUCUGGCCUGAAGCAAGAGGACACCUUUGGAGAACUCCUCUUGCAGGGGCCCACCAAGUUUCAGUGCAUGUCCCAUGCUACACACCUUGAGGGAAAGCGAUGCAUGGCCCAGAUCCUUCAGGAUGAAGCAUCCAGGUUUCAGGAGCUGAAAGAAAUGCAGCUGCCUACUGCUUAAUCUUCAUCCAAUCAGUACGAUGGUGGCUUUUGGAAUCAAGCUUGGGAGGAAGGCACGCCGAAGGGAUAAGAUGAAAGAGCAGGCACUUUGCAAGAAGAUGGGGAACUGGAGCCCAGCCGUGACCCCCAAAAUAGACAUGGAGAUACAGAUAAUAUAUUUUUCUAUCCAAUAGCCCAAGGGAGAACCUCUUCCAUUAAAAACACUUUUGAUACAAAGCCAGACUGCCCAAGAUGACUGCCUAAAAAUAUAUGAAAAUCUAGGAAAAACAAGCUCUCCAUCCUGGAGGGAAUGUCAAUGGAAAAUCGUUAUUAGGCUUUUCCAGUUACCAGUAAUAAAAGAAAAAUAGGCUCCCCAUUAUGAGCCCAGAGCUGGAGGGGUCAUCAGCUGGUUCUGGGCCAGCCUCAGAAUUUUCUGAGUGCAUUACAAAUUACAGGAACAAGAUGUGGACUUUUCACUCUAAUUAUGUCUUCUGAGUCCAGACAAUUUAUUAUUAGGUUUACUUCCCAGUGGACUAGAGUUGAAAAAGAUGCCUCCAUGUGUGAAUAAUGUUUAUAAGCUUUUAAAGCACAUACAUUCUUACACUGAACAGCAAUUGUACCAUGCACAUAGGCUUUCAAUGAAAGAAUUAAGAAAAAUACAAAUAAGGCAUUAAUCCUUUCAUUCAUCAAACACUGAUAAUAUGCCUUAAUAUUUAUAUUCUUGGCAAAGUCUCUGCCCCUUUAGGUCUCGUUAGUUGUACCUUAUUUUUGUCUGCUAGUUCACUGUGAAGUCUUUUGAAAGUAGGGUCAUAUCUUAGUCAUCUCUGAUUCUUUGUCCCAGUACAGUGCCUAACAUAAAGAAGACUAUAAAGUCAGAUGAAGGAAUUUCUCUUUUGUAAGCUGCAGGUGAAGGCAUUUUUCCAUUAUGUUUUCCAUGGGUGCAUAAAUAUCUAUGCAAUAAAUCCCUCUUAGAGUCUAAUGCUAGGAGGGGAAAAUACCUCCAUGAUGUUCUUUUCCUUUACAUAACAACAAGAAUACAGCACUUUAUGUUUCCUUUAUUUAUCUGGAUCCCAGGAAGUGUAAAGUCAAGUUUUAAGCUCAAUUAGUCACUUAGCCUAAUACUUCUAAUACAAAGCUUUCCCCUCUUAAUUACUCUUUUACCUGGCUCCUUAUCUUUUACCCCUGUUUUACACAAACUUUAAGUUUCCUCAAAUCCCUGGUUGAGGAAGAAAAUAGGGAACUAAAAAUAAUAAAUGAACAAAGCACUAAGAAAGCAAGUUAGUACAUUUCUUAUAUAAGUACGUUUCUUAUACAAGCUGCAGAAAUCCUCUUGAGAUGCAAUGGUGUUACAUCCAUGACCAUUGACUGUGUUUCAAAAUAAAGGAACAGAGCAAACAUAAUGUGAUCCCGAGGAAGAGAGUGCUGGCCUGGAAGACCAGCAUCACAGGCUGAAUUUCCACCUCUGCCCCCCACUAGCUGUGUGACCUUGAACAAGAUACUUAAAUUCACUAGCAACAGUUUCCUCAUCUCAUAAAUGGAGUGCAUUUGUUCUUCCAACCAACACAGACUGAAUCCUUACUAUGUGGCAGAUACAGUGUCAAGUAAAAAAGAUGAGAUCCAUGCACUCAAGUUAGCACACAGUCUCGUAAAAGAGACAUAAGAGGAUUACAUAAACAGGUGAUUACAGUCUAACGUGAUCAUUGCUACACUACACAGGGUACAGAAGAGGCACAGAAGGGAGCCAUGUAAAGAAGACUGGAGGAUUUGAAAGGAGACUGCAGUUGCAUUGAUUUUUAAAGUAUUGGGAAUUAACCAGAUGAAAAUGGGUCAGAGAGGGGAAGAGGGCAUUCCAGGACUCAGGAAGAGCACAUGUGAAAUCACAAAGACACAAGAUACAUGACGAGAGUGGGCAACUACAGACUGUUGGGAAAUAAUAUAGUAUAUGUCCUGUCUACCUCCCGGGUAGUUUCGAGGAUCAGUUGAGUGGAUGUUUACAUUUAAAGUGCUUUAUAAACUGUAAAGCACCAUACACAUGUUCAAAUGUAAAAGAUUAUUAUUAGACACUCAUUUUUUUCUCCCUCCAAAUUGGAAACAUUUGCUGAAGUAAACAUUGCUGAUGCAUUAGCUGUCAGGAUGGUGUAUUAUAUUUGGAAAACAUUUGCCAAUGCCUGUUGAGUUUUUAAAUUCUCAGUCACAUGUGUUUUUUGUUUGAGAAAAUACAUCAAGUAAUAAUGGAUUUAUUGUUAAUUGUGCAAUAUUGGAGUUUCAAGGUUUAAGUAAUUUCUCUUCCAUGUUGACUUUAUUCCAUGCUGACUGUGGAGUUUGCAGUCAUUUAUUUAUUAAUGAGAACUGAUAAGUGAACACUAUCACCACCUUGUAGUGAUCAAAUUUUGCUAUCAGAGGAAAUUCAGGAUUCUUUACACGGGCAAGUGUGCCAAUAAAAACAAUUCCUUCUGAGAAAAGGAGAAAAAGAAGUGAAGUGUGGUUACCUCCACUUAAAAUAGCUUCCCAAACAAGGCCCAGUGGAGCUCAGAUCCAAAUACUCAUCUCCCUUUUCAGCACUUCAAGAACCAAACACUUCCUUCUUAGGGACAUUUUUCUAUGGUUAGAGAAAUCAACAAUAAGUAUUUUGGGUAGAAAAAUUAGGAUGGAUAACUCAUGCUCAAAAUUCUUGACAUUUAUACACCAUCAGUCAUUGGAGGGUUUGAAUCACUACAAUUAAAAAGUGCAUUCCUAUUUUCCCUCCUUCCUGUAAGACAUUCCUCAAAGAGGAAGAUCUGAAAAAGAAAAAGAUAAUAGGAUUUUUUUCAUGUUGCCAACAAGUUGUCUGGACUUUACCUUUUCAUACUUACACUCUCAGAAAAUAAUCAUAUCCUGCCACCUCUCCACCUUGUAAAAGACAAGCAUUUCAAGUCUUGGAAGGUCUGUAUUAGUGAUGAAAUCGUAUUACCGAGCCAUGAUUAAUUAAGCCACUCAUCAGCAAUUUUGGUCAUCAGGAUCUAAUACAUCACAUUGAUGAACUAAGUAUUACAUUCAUUUAUUUUGUUUUGCAUAGAGGAGAACAGAAUGAUAGCUCAUCAAAGCUAGAUGGGACUUGAAAGGCUCUUCUGGGCGACAUCCCAUUUUAUGGAUGAGAAAGACCUAGGGAAAGUCUACUCAUUGGUUUACAGUCAGGCAGUGAAUAAAUGGCACAGUGGGGAUUAGACGCUGACUCUCUUAUCCAACAGGGCAGUAUCUCUGGAUGCAAAGCCAACAUCUAAAAAAAAAAGAUGGAGGAAUUGCAGUUGCUCGGGGGAGAGGCUUCAGGCAAGGGGUCCACCUGCUGCCACUCCAAGCCCACUCCUUCAGGGCGCUGCCAAGCUCCUCUCUCCAAGGAGCAGCAUGAGAGCACCAGGGCUCCAAGGACCUGUUGGCAAGUAAGAAAACCAGUCAUGAUGUGCUUGAGGCAGGCAGCUCCCACACGGCGAUCUGAGUGGCCCUGGCACUGUGGUAGGGCUCCCAGCUGAAGCGACAAGCCCCGCUGCGCCUGGACAGGAGCAGUGGCUGAAACUCCGGACAGCCUGACUUGCUUUAGAGGCUGGCUGGAAAAAAAAAUGGUUUCUUGUAGAAUUCCUGUUAGUGCAGUCAGCUCCCAUUCUCUUGUGAAACUGGAUUUGUAGGCACAUGCACAGGCCAAUGAGUCAGCUCUGAAAAAGUCAUUCAUAAUUUAUGUAUAAACAAGAAUAGCUUUUGUUUCAGAGAAUUUGGGAGGUUUUUGUAGGCUGCUUUCUUCCAGUACCAUUUCUGAAGAACUGUUCCUGUCUCAAGGCGGUUCCUAUGGGCCUAUAAAUACUUUGAUGUUCAGACAUCUGGAACUUAUAUUUGGUGUUGACUAAUGAGUAUUAUUAUUUUAUUAUGUAUUUAUAUAUGAUCUGAAAGAAAUUUGAGGUUAUAUGCCACAUAACUCUGUAUAUACACUGAACAAUGACAAAUUCUUUUUACCCAUUACACUUAUGAUUUAUUACUCAGGCAGAAGAAGUUCUGAGUCAUUCAAUUGACAUAUAAUUGUGUUUUGGAAGAUAGUAAUGGGAUAGAGAGAAUGUAAAAUUGCCCUUAACAUAUAUCGUUAAAAUAAUUUGUAAGUAGACAAAAUGGACUCCAGAGAUAUUAUUUCCCUCAUUUCUUAAAAAUAUCAAAGGAUAGCCAAUAGGGAAACAAACUACAGUGCUCCUUUUGAAUGAGUCAAGAAGAACCCUGGUCUUAGAAAUACAUGUGGUCAUGUUUGAAAGGGCAAUAAACAAUGCAUAAUGGAUCUGACUUCAGAGAAUGUCUAUUGGAGAAGCAGACCCAUUUCAAAGUCAAAUGUUCAAUACCCAGUUUGCCUUGGUACCAGUAAGCCACAGAUAAACAUUCAGAUCAAAGGGAAAGGUGGGUGUGUGGAGGGGCGUGUGGCGACAUUACUUUCUCCACAAAGCAUCUCCCCCAAGGGACACUGGGAACCAGCACCUUUAACAGUCUCUGUUGUAUAUUCAGGAAUGUAUUUUGGAGGAGGGGCAGAGGUAUUCUGGUCUGCAAGAAUUGCAAUUCAAAGGCCAUUAAACAAGAGGUGUACUGAAGGUGGCAUGCACUUGGGAAGAGGAUACUGAGUUGGAAAGGGAUAAAUGGAGCUAUUGUGGGCCACGCUGAUCCAUGCUGUCUUGCUUCUCCCUCCCACAAACAACAUCAGUGUAAACUGGUUUGGCUCAUCAGCAGGCCGUCUGGCCCUUCGUGUAAAAAUGAGCCCUCUGUGCAGGCAGGCAGAGCAGCUGCCAACAAAGGCCCAUGGAGUGUUUGAAAGCCUGAGCUUACUGCUGGAUCAAAGCAUUUCUAGAGGCUAAAGCUGUGAACAGGAUAUGCCAUCAACAGUGGUAGGAACUUUCUACAGCUCCCCUAAAGAACCCUUCUAAGUGACAUAACUGCUUUGUUAACAGUCCCCAAUUUCAGUUCCCACAGUGUGGGCAGUAUUCAUUUAAAGUCACUAACCUAGAAUUCAUACUGAAUUGAGUUUUAGGGCCUUUGUCCAAGCAUUAGCUGACUCCAUAGCAGGGAAGAAGUUAGAAAAGACCUAGUGGAUCCCACAACAGAAAAAGAAGGAGCAAACCAACAGAAAACAAAGGAAAAUCAAAACUUCGUUUUAAGAAUGUUAUAAAAUGAAGAAGCAUUUCCAGUCUUUACCCCCUGUCCCCCCCCCCCCACACACACACACACCUUUCAGGGACUUUAUUUUAUGGUCCAUUAUAAAUAAAUUAGAAUAUUGCUCAGAAGCAUUAGGUUAAGAAGCAUAAGUUUAAAUAGAUGUUCGAAUAGAUUGAAUAGUUUGAAUAGAUGCAAAAUCCUGAGAUGUAAGGAUAAAACUUACAGGCUAUGUUUAGAUUGCAUGAGAGUUAUCUGUCCUAUAUAUUUUAAAGUGUGUCACAAUAUUUUCCUUUGACUGUCUUCCAAUGAAUGUAUUUCUUGUCCAAAGGAUUAUGUGAGGGUUAGCUGAUUAGAAGUAAACAAGAAAUAUAUUUAUUCAAAGCAAACAGAGCAACAGAGGAGUAUCAUGAACCAACCUCAUUAUAAAUAAUGGAAAAAUAGAUGUCAACCUUUACCACUGAUCACCCUAGUAGUUCCCAAAAAUGUUCUCUUCCUGAACAGCUAUUCCUACUCCAUGCCUAAGCAAUGCCAGCUAAGCAGCGUAAUGUAUCAGCUAAUCUUGCCUAUCACGCCUCCCACUUUAUUUCAGUCUACUUGUACUUGGAAUUAGGCCAUGUUUCUAACUUGGGUUGAUAAGUUUGGGCUUCUAAUGAAAUCAUAAAUAUGUUCCAAUCCCCUCAUUCCAGGGCUCCUGUGUAGCUCCAUAUUAUAACUGUAAAAAUCCAUCAUUCUAGAUUAGCCCCAUCCUAAGGAUUGUGUUCACAUUUCCCAACAUCUAUCUGUAAUCAGAUGGUUUGACCUGUGGAGUUAAGAGUUGCCCAAUUUUGGGUUUCACUCCAUCUAGUAAGACACAGACCCUGCAUGAUUUUGCUCAGGUCAUUUCACACAACAAUAUUCUGGUCCAAUUCUUCCAAACUUUAUGGAGCUUCUAUUUUGCUGCUCCCCAGCCUCACCCCUGCAUGGUGGUCACUACUUGGAUUUCCAGACUCUGGAUGACCCAGAUGAGAUGCUCCAGUACCAACUGCUUCCAGAAAUAUUCCUGGAAUGCUGGAUCCCAGAGGCGUUUUUCCAAGACUGCUCCUUGACCUCUCUAGAACCAACCAAAAACUGUAUACUUUAUAGGCUGGUGGAACUUCCUUCAGACAUUCCUCUAUGCAUGUACAUAAAUUUCAUGUAUUUUCUGUAAGUUGGAAAAUACACAUAUUCAAAUACUGCUUUUUCCCCUCAAAUGCAUGUGAUGGAUUUUUUUCCUUGGCAAUAAACACAGCAUUAUAACAUCAUUGUAAUUGCUAUAAUACAUUCCAUCAUUUCUCUAUAUUAUAGUACACUUAACCAUCUUCCUACUGAUAGGCAUUGCAUUAUACUUUUCUAUAAUAAUAAAAAUAUCUUAAUGCUCACCCUUUUGGUGAUUUGCACCAGUCUCCUUCAAAUAGAUUUCCAUAAGUAGAAUAUGGAUGUCAGUGUAUAUUUAUACUUUAUA